CAAUCACAACAGUCCCAAGGCAUUUAUCAGGAUAUCACACUACAUGGUAUGGCCUGCUCCUUCCUCUCAAAGCUCUUCCUGGUGUGAGAAAACAAGGAAUGAGUGCCACAGCACCAAAAUGUUCCUGGUGAUAAAACGGCGGCUCUUUGGUGCUAUAAACCAGUCAGUGCCGUAAGAAUUUGAGGAUUAUUGAGAGGCGUCCAAUCAGAGCGCUGUAUCUGGCUGCUGGAGCGACACUUCCCUCUUGCUUCACAACAGACACAGACACAUGGUCUCGCUUUCUCUCUCACUCUCUUUCUCUAUCUCUCGCUUUCUCUAUCUCUCGCUUUCUCUCUCACUUUCUUUCUCUCUCUCGCUUUCUCUCUCACUCUCUUUCUCUAUCUCUCGCUUUCUCUCUCUCUCUCUUUCUCCCUCUCUCGCUUUCCUUCUCACUCUCUUUUUCUUUCUCUCUCACUCUCUUUAUCUCUCGCUUUCUCUCUCACUCUCUUUCUCUCUCUCGCUUUCUCUCUCACUCUCUUUCUCUAUCUCUCGCUUUCUCUCUCUCUCGCAAUAUCUCUCUCUUUCUCUAUCUCUCGCAAUAUCUCUCUCUUUCUCUAUCUCUCGCUAUAUCUCUCGCUUUCUCUCUCUUUAUCUCUCGCAAUAUCUCUCUCUUUCUCUAUCUCUCGCUAUAUCUAUCUCUCGCUAUAUCUCUCUCUUUCUCUCUCGCUUUCUCUCUCGCUAUAUCUCUCUCUUUCUCUAUCUCUCGCUAUAUCUCUCUUUCUCUCUCUCUUUAUCUCUCGCUAUAUCUCUCUUUCUCUAUCUCUCGCAAUUUCUCUAUCUCUCGCUAUAUCUCUCGCUUUCUCUCUCUCCUUAUCUCUUGCUAUAUCUCUCUCUUUCUCUCUCUUUCUCUCUCCCACAUGCAUGAGCGUAAAGUGAGAAGCAACAUCACUCCACACACAGGAAGCCAUGCUCCUUUUUUAUUUAAAGGGCUCUUUUUCAUCUUUCCCCUCUCUGGCUGAACCCUGACCCUCAAAUAGAUCUGGAAAUAGGUACAUUGUCGAGGGAAAUAGGGGAGCGCCUCUAACCUAAUGUUAUCCUCCCCUUCCCCCAAAAAUUGAAAAAAUGAAUUAAAGAUGAAACAUGGCCCCUAUGCAGUCUGUGAUUCUAGACACGUCUCCUCUCCUCCUUUUUAUUCCCCCCAUCAUCUGUCAGAUGAAAUAAGUUUAGACCUGGUCUGGACACACCUGCUCCCUGGACUACCGACGAUGCCUUGUCCUCCGGCUCGCACUGCAACAUUUAGUGACACAUGUUGGAAUGUGGAGCUCAUUGAAGUACGCACACACAAGCACACAAACACACAGACAAACUGCAACACACACGGACACACACACACGGACACACACACGGAAACACACACAGCGACACACACAGCGACACACACACAGACACCUGCCCUUGUGUGGGCCUUCAACCCAUCCACGUUAUUGCAGAGUGCUGAGAGAAGUCAAGAAGGAAUAUAACAUUUAACCCAACCCCUCUGAAUCAGAGAGGUGUGGAGGGCUGUGUGUGCGUGUGUGUGGCUGUGUGUGUGUGUGUGUGUGUGUGUGUGUGCGUGCGUGCGUGUGUGUGUGAGUGUGUGGUUGUGUAUGUGUGUGUGUCUGUCUGUGUGUAUGCAGUGUGCCUAUUAUAUAAUAUGUGUGUAUAAGUGUGCGUGUGUAUUUAUUCGGUGUGCAUUUGUAUUUUAUUUAAACUUUAUUUAACUAGGCAUUUGCGGUGUGUGUGUGUAUAUGUAUAAGUGUGUGUGUGUGUGCUGUCUGGCAGCAAAGGUAGAUCCAGCCUGAUUCUAAUGAGGCUUGGAUCAAAGGACCACAGGAGGGAGAUUAGAGAUGAGUAUUGUAUUGAUUUUUAAUUGACUGGAGUGGAGAUGGAAAGCGGGGGGAGGGGAGGGCAGCCUGGGCCAGAUUAUGAAAUGAGCUGAAUUUGUCACUCACUGAAGGCAUAGGGAGAGUGAGAGAGAGGGAGAGGGAGAGAGAGAGAAAGAGGAUGGGGGAGAGGGAAAGAGGCAGGGAGAGAAAGUGGAGAGGAGAAAGGAGAGAGAAG
This 2079-nucleotide long non-coding RNA is filed under the name Salmo salar (Atlantic salmon). Its description in RNAcentral is "lncRNA (ENSSSAG00000096035.1)". Lineage: Eukaryota; Metazoa; Chordata; Actinopteri; Salmoniformes; Salmonidae. The record is from RNAcentral.